ACAAGUUGACCUAGAGGCCCAAAACAAGGCCCCACCCAUUUGUGCUGUCCAAAUGGAGAGAGGGAGAACCUUAGGGUUCUCCCAUGUGCCCUACAUAUCCACCUUUUAGUUCAUUCUCUCCUUAGGGUUUUAAGAGUGAGGAGAAAGUGAGAGAAAGCAUAAAAUCUCUCCCUUCCUUAGGCAAGCUAAAAUUAGUAGUGUUGCUUGCACCACCUACUACUCUUGUGUGUCGUCAUCCUUCCUGUUGGGGUCUUUUUUCAUAGGAUGGCUCAUCCAGGUUUAUUGAUUCUUG
Molecule: long non-coding RNA, 292 nt
Filed under: Prunus persica (peach)
Lineage: Eukaryota; Viridiplantae; Streptophyta; Magnoliopsida; Rosales; Rosaceae
Description: long non-coding RNA (PPER_LNC004710)
Source: RNAcentral